ACACGUGAAGGGAGGUGGUCCGAAGUUGUAUAGCAACGGGACUCGUGAGGUGGCUGUCCGCUAGCCGCUGUCCUCGACAGCUUCGUCUUGAGAACGUCGAGACCGUGUGGCAACGGCCCGGCGAGUAACAGACAGCCAUCCGACCCCCGGGGAUCCGGCCUUGUCCGACCGGACCACGUUCGUUCGCGAGCGUGGAAGAUCCCCCGGGGGUCGCCUAAU
Molecule: small RNA, 219 nt
Filed under: Actinoplanes lutulentus
Lineage: Bacteria; Bacillati; Actinomycetota; Actinomycetes; Micromonosporales; Micromonosporaceae
Description: sRNA Ms_IGR-5
Rfam family: Actinobacteria sRNA Ms_IGR-5
Source: RNAcentral